UGAAUCUUAAAAUAGAUUAGCUUUCUUAUAAAAACUAGAUGAUUUUGAAUGAAAUGGACUAUAAGAAUUAAACGAACAUCUACAUCAUGCAUAUAUGACUCAAAGCUUGCAUGCUAUAAUGUGGUAUUUAUUCAUAAUUUGGUUGCCAAAUCUCAUGCGUGCAAUGCACGUGUACCUUACUCUAGUCUAAAUGGUGUUUGUGUGUGUGUUGUGCGUGUUGAGGUGCAAAUUGUCUUUUUUUGGUACACGUUAAGCUUGUUCUUCUGAAAUUUCAAGCCGCGCCUUGUUAUGCCGAAAAUUCAAGCUAGCGUCUCUAUCUAUCGUGCUGGGAAACUCCCGCCUCUUCAACCCGCGCCUUGUUAGCCCGAAAUAUUUAAGAUAUAUCUUUGUCUCGUUGUGCUCCGACAACUCCCUCCAUCUCAACUCGCGCCUUCCUAUUCCGAAAUUACAACGCGCGCGAAAACUCCCACCUCCUGUGAAAUCCUGACACGCGAAAUGCCCGUGGUACCCCUGAACCGAAAGAACCGCCUCAAAUCGGUGGGGGUACUUUCAUAACUUACCCCACAUUUCGGACAAGCGCGUCUCUAAGCCAUAGUUCCCCACUGCCAUCCCAUCCGCCCAACCAUUCGUACACCGAGGCCGCGAAAACCCGCGACGAAACCCCACACCCUGCUCCGUCCGGCACCCAGCCAGAGCCUCUUCCCCGACGACGUCGUCCACAGCAACACCUCGACGUCCCUCAUCCACCGUACCGGAUGAGGAUCCGUCGUCGAUCUCAUCGUCCCGCCGGUUCAGCCACCCCGUCCUCCACCUCCAAGGAGUUGCCCCGACGUUCCCCUCAUCUUUCGCGCCACCUCCAUUCCCACACCGUCGUCUUCACCUGCACCACCGGAAGAGCAUCAUCAUCACCGUUUCCUCGGAUGAAGCUGCGGCCUAAUCGGUGCCACCAAAGAGGUUGUACACUAAUUGCCGCAUUUUCUUCUUGAUUCGAUCUCACGGUGCUGCCGGCGCUCGGUCCCGAGCCGACACGGCACGGCUCCAUCCACGGUGGCGUUGCCGGCCACUUCCUCCACGGCGUCGCUCCCUCGGCGGCGACGUCCACAUCAGUAGGAGCUGCUGCUGCUUUAGCUCUCGCUCGCGCUGCUGCUCUGCUCUUGCUCUCGGUCCCCUGCCUGGUCUACUCUUGCUAUUGCUCUUGCUCGCGCUGCUGCUCUCGCUCUUGCUCUUGCUUGCGAUGCUGCUCCGAUUUAGCUACACUUCAGUCGACUGAAUCGACUUUUGGAUCNNNNNNNNNNNNNNNNNNNNNNNNNNNNNNNNNNNNNNNNNNNNNNNNNNNNNNNNNNNNNNNNNNNNNNNNNNNNNNNNNNNNNNNNNNNNNNNNNNNNNNNNNNNNNNNNNNNNNNNNNNNNNNNNNNNNNNNNNNNNNNNNNNNNNNNNNNNNNNNNNNNNNNNNNNNNNNNNNNNNNNNNNNNNNNNNNNNNNNNNNNNNNNNNNNNNNNNNNNNNNNNNNNNNNNNNNNNNNNNNNNNNNNNNNNNNNNNNGCCGGGGUGAAGGAAGAACCAGCCACAGCGGGGAGGGGGGCUCACCGGAGAGGUACCCAACUAUCUAUCUUAGGGUUCAGGAUGGGGGCGGUGGUCGCCGGCGGUGGCGGGAGGGUGGCGUGGGGAUCGCCGGAGAAAAAGCUCGGCACGGGGGGCCUAGAGGGAUGGUCGGGGCAGCGGCGGACCGGCGGUGGGGAGUGUUUUCGGGGCGGGCGGGGCGGCGGGGGGCUGCUGUUUGGCCGGUGGUGGCUGGUGGCUCAGGGGGUGGAGGUUGAAGAUGAACCGCAGGCCCUUGAUUUCGUAUCCAACGGUUGCAAAAUCGACUGACCAGAGAUGAAAAAGUCAGUCAACCGACGUGUAGCCUCACCUUGCUAGUGCGUUCAGUUUCGACAGCAAAAUUCAGUUUCGACAGCAAAAUUCAGUUUCGAUAGUUAAGUUCAGUUCCGACAGUUAAGUUCAGUUUCGACAGUUAAAUUCAGUUUCGACAGUUAAGUUCAGAGAUGAGCGGCUGAUGUAUUUUACAUCUAGCACUUUGUGGUUAUGUAUUUUACGUCAUGUAUUGGAGAUGCUAUUAGAAUUCCACUCAGGUUAACGUUGUUCGUUGUCUCUCUUGUCCUGCUUCAACCUCGGCAUCGUACAACUCACCGGAGCUGCUCCAACGACGAAACCCUCCAUCACAGCGGAGCAGUACCUCGGGCUCCGUCUCCAGACGCCUAAGAUCUUCUUCCCCUCCUCCGACAGCCAUGUCAGCCGGAGCAUCCUCACCGGCCAACCCAAUCACACUGAGAUCGACAUGGCUUCGCCAAAGAGGUUGUACACUUGUUGCAUCUCUUUUUUACUCUACAUGUUAUAUAUAUUGUCCACUGAGCACUCGUAGUAAUGGGAAAUACGAUUAUUUUAUCCUACUAUAUGACAAGUAGUGAGGUACCAGGCAACUUAGCUAUCCAUCAUGGACUCUCUUGAACGGCAUCAUUAUUUAUCUCUGCGCGUUUGAGCUGUGCAUUUGUCGAUGGGCCUGGGAGUUGAGCUAGUAUGGCAGUGGCCUGGGUCCAAAGUAUAAUAGAAGUAGCACAAAAACAUUUUUUAGUGUAGGAUUUUCCUUGCCCAAGCCUGCCUACUAGAAUCGCCAGUGCUUGAAAGGAAAAGUGAAUGGAAAACAUCGGAAUUGGAAAGUUUCCUAUGGUACUACUUUUCAUGAAUUUGGUGCAAAGGAAUGGAGCAAAGGAAAACUGUAGGAUUUGUUCCUUUAGUGUCUCCUUGAAAGAAAAACCGUAGGAAUUCUAAUUUCCACUUCUCCUCCUUUUCAUAUUCCUAUUCAUCAAGCACAAGACUAAGAGAUAGUAGCAUAAUAGCAUUAUAACCAUACAUUUUCUUGUGGUUUGACUUAAUCUCACCAUGCUUUUUUGCAUCCUGUGAUCUUCCAAUUGUUGUGAACCAAACACCCAGAUUGGCAGAAAUCCUGUGUUUUUAAAUACUCUGUUUUGCACAUGCAUUCCUAUCCUAUUCCUGUCUAUUUCCUAUCCCUACAUUGUUAGAAUCCUCAAAUUCAAACAAGCCCUUACUCAAUUACUUCUGUUACAGAUAUGUGUCAAAGAAAACCUUGUGUGGUUUGUCUUGCUCCUGCGGCGCUGUGUUCCACCCCAGCUCAGCUGCUCCAAUGACGGAAGGGUUCACCACAGCAGGGAUCCGCUCUCCAGACUGUCUUUCGCCGCCUCAGAUCUUCUUCCCCGCCGCCGGCAGCCACGGCAACUGCAUUACCAUCAUCAACUGAGCAGAUGACCUUGAGGACUACACAGGUCUGCAAGAGAGGUCGCACUCUUCCAUGUCUGCUUACAUUAUGCGUCGCUUAAUAUGAUGACAUGCUACAUUAUCGUCGUGUUCACCUAUUAGACUCCGAGUCAGGUCCAAAUUAAUGCUGAAACUUGAGUUUUUAAAUGGUUGUGGGGUACAUAUUGAGGCAGCAAUCAGUACUAUCUGUCUACUAUCUGGUUAAUCUCCGGUGUCUACUAUGAGUUUCAUGUUGUGCAAACAAACAUUAAAGGAGCCAUUAUCUGUAUUUUUUAACUAAAGCUAUUAUCUGCCUGCUAUCAUUGGUUUUGGGUCUAUCCAUAGUUUGCUACCAUCACUCUGGAUUUGUGCAUGCACUCCUUACAUAAUCUCACUAUGUUUUAUUCCUAUGCAUGCAAGUUAUUGUACACAAUGGAACUGAUCAUGUAGAGCAAAAGGGCCGAGCCUUGCGUGGCAAUAAAAUUUCAUGCAGACGUCGUUCCAUGGUGGGCGCAAAGGCAGCCCCCCCCCCCCUCCACCCAUUUCGGAUCGUAAUCAAGAGGAACAUAACUGUUCUGAGGGGGGAUUCAGAAGGAGAAGACCACUCCUAUUUACCCCAUGAGGUCUUCGCUCUAACUUGGCAUGCUGAUGUUGUUAAUAUCAUGCAUAUGGUGCCUUGCAUUGCUUACUGUAUACAUUAAAGAUGUCAUCUGCUUAGUUUAGACAUGCUUUGUGUCAAUGCCAUCUGUUUAGUUUCUUUAUCGUAUAUGUGAAUCAUGCAAUGCCAUCUUGUCUAGCCAGGCAUCAUAUAUGUGAAUUUUGCAAUGCCACCCUGGUUAGCCAGUAAUCUUAUAUGUGAAUUAUAUCAUGCCAUCAUUUUUUUAUUACGUGUUAAAUUUGUCAACAAUUUUAGUACAUUCAAUUACUCUUCCUGUGCAUCAGCCAUUCAGCACGGUCAUGGAAAAAUCUGGAGUGGAAACAAGGUCUUUAGAGCAGACAAUGCUAUCUGACGAAGCGCAUGUCUUGCUGGUUACCGAUAGCUCCUUAGAGGAGGAUUCAAAGACAGAUGACCAUUCAUAUUUCCCCCCCCCCAAGGUGCAUGCCCUAACUUGGCAGGGUUAUGUUGCUCAUAUCGUGUGUAUGGUAUCUUGCAUUGCUAUGUCAUUUGCUUAGUUUAGACAUGCUUUGUGUGAAUGCCACCUGUUUAGUGUCUAAUUACCAUAUAUGUGAAUUAUGCAAUGCCAUCUUGUUGCAAGACAUUAUAUAUGUGAUUAUGCAAUGUUAUCUUGUUGCAAGGCAUUAUGUAUGUGAAUUAUGCAAUGCCAUGCUGUUUAGGCAAGCGUCAUAUAUGUGAAUUAUAUCAUGCCAUCCUUUUUUUUUGUUUUUCUCAUUGCUUUUGUCGACAAUGUUUGUAUAUUCAACUGCUCUUCCUGUGCAUCAGCCAUUUGAAUUGGUGUAUGGAGAAAUCUGGCGUGAAAACAAGGUCUUCAGAGCAGACAAUGCUACCUACUGAAGCAGAUAUCUUGCUGGUUACAGAUAGCUCUUCAGAGGAGGAUUCAGAGGCAGAUGACCAGUCCUAUUAUCCCCUGAGGUGUAUGCUCAAACUUGGCAGGGUUAUAUUACUCAUAUAAUGCAUAUGUUGUAUUAGAAUGCUUAGUUUUUACAUCAUAUACACAAUAUUGAAUGUCAUCUCCUUAGUUGACACAUCAUAUAUGCGAUUGCCCUCUGCUCACUUCCUUAGUAUAUAAAUCAUAUAUUUGAAUUAUGUCAUGCCAUGAUGUUUACAUAGACAGCAUGUAUCUGAAUUAUGGCAUGCCAACCCAUUUUCUAAAGACAUAAUAUAGUUAUAUCAUCUCAUCCUGUUUACAGAGUCAUCAUAUUUUAAAUUAUGUCAUUCUAUCCAUGAAUUAUAUCAUGCCAUCACGUUUCCAUCGACGGCAUGUUUGUGAUUUAUGGCAUGCCCACCACUUUAAUAGACACAUCGUAUAGUUAUAUCAUGUCAUCCUGUUUACAUAGUCAUCAUAUUUUGAAGUAUGUCAUUCUAUCAUGUUUAGUUAGCCAUCAUACAUGUGAAAUUGUGUCAUGCUAUCCUGUUUAAUUAGCCAUCAUAUAUGUGAAAUUAUGUCCUGCUAUUCUGUUUGCUUAGACAACAUAAAUGUGAAUUAUUUCAUGCCCUGUUUUCUUCCCUACUAUCCAUUGCACCUGUCUAUCUUACAAUGUCUAUACAUUCAAUUACUUUUCUUGUUUAUCAGCCAUUUCAAUUGGAGGGAGUGAUGGCAGUAUCUGUGGGAGUAAAAACACGGUCUUCAGAAAAGAUCGUGCUACCUGUCGAUGCAGAUAGAACCACGGUUGUACUUGCCCAAGAACUAGCCCCACCAAACAUAACCCACACUCAUGCAGAUUGUACCCCUACCCAGUUGGACAGAGAACCAGCUAAACCCCUUCUAACCCCAACCCCAGCAGAUAGACACCCAGUUCCCGUUGACACAGCACCGUCUCCACCACAGAGCACCCAAACACGAGCAGUUAGUAAGGCACCUGCAGUGCCCAAAUCACGAGGAGCACCACUCCGAACCCGAAGUCAACGCUUAAAGCAGAAGAAGAAUUGUUCUCAGGUCAGGUUCCGUAGCUAUGGUUCAUACUACUUUGCUCUUGCAUCACUGUAUUUACUGAUACCAACUAAUUUCAAAUUUGAAGGAUGCAAUUGAAACUCCAAUGGCGCAACAGGUAUAUUUUAAACCUGUUUCUUCAACGUGUUUGGCUGCUUGCUGUUGUAACUUGCUCUAUGUUGAUUUCGGUUUCAAUUGAAUAAACAGUUAUGUUCUCAUGCCGUGCACAUUACAAGUGUUGUUAUUGUUGUGUAGUUUCCCACACUUAUAUUCUGUCUAUGCUGCUUUGUCUUAAAUAGAUAUGAUUCGAACUAUAUCUAUCUUGAUUUGGCAACAUAAACUAGAAUGAUAUAGACCAUACAGUGACCAUACUACAUAGAUAUAUGUUUGUUUCAUGCUGUUAUCCUGUCCACCUUACUACUGAACUGGUUUACCAAAAUGAGUUUCAUAUACUACAUUGUAAACCUGAGAUGUGUUUGCUUGUUUCUCUUUUAGAACGCGGAUAAAAUAUUGGAGAAGAGUACCCUGUUAUGCAAUGGUAAAGGAAGUAAUGCAGAUAAGGUUCAAGAUAGUGAGACAUCCCUGUUGGUCUCCAAGAAAGCUGAUAAAAACUAUAUUGAAGACACUGAGACAACCCCAAAGUCAUGUCUUGAUGUAGUGUUCGAGUUACUGGCUACCACUGCUGGCACCAGCUCUUCGAACUCGUUGCCUAAAUCAGUUCGGCUUCUUGAGUCUCAACUUCAAGUUGAAAGACAUCGAUCAGAUGUUAUGCGACAGGAAGCCGAAGGACUGAGGAAGUCCCUGCAGAAUUCAGAUGCAUACUUUCUAGUGCAACAGCAAGCGCUGGAGGACUUAAGCGCCAAACAAGAGAAAGUUAAUAAGCUUGCUAAGCAUCUUGCUAGCAUUAUGGGUACCCAGGAUAUUGUUUCUUGAACUCUUCUGAAGUGGUUUCAGUUCUGGACUUGUUUUGUUGCGGCGUUUAUAUGCUGCUGUGUUCCCUAUAUUUGCACUGGUGGCGAACUUUGAUGCCCAGUGGAUGUAAUAUGUGUAAGAGCCGUGAUAGCCUAGUGUAAGUUGCUUGCUUAUUUAUUUCCUUGUUGUCUUGUUUAUUUGUUUGCUUGUAGUCAGUGCAGUUCUUUUUCUGCGGUUUGCUAGUGGCUGCAAUAACCUAUUUUUAAAAACUAGGCCACAAUAACCAUGGGCUAAUAUUUACUGUAGUGACACUGGGCCUCCUACGGGCCGUAGAAACAGUGGGCCUUCUACGGGCUGUAUAAACAUUGGGCCUUCUACGGGUCAUAGAAACAGUGGGCCUUCUACGGGCCGUAGAAACAAUGGGCCUUCUACGGGCCGUAGAAACAAUGGGCCUUCUACGGGUUGUAUCAUCAAUGGGCCUUAUACGGGCCGUAUGAUCAAUUGGCCAAACAUGGGCCAAACAGACCGCAUUCUGGCCGUAAACGGGCUAGAGUUGGAAUCGUCCGUUCAUGGGCCGACCAUAACGGGCCAUCGUUAAUAGGCCGUAUUUGAUGACGCUAUGAAAACGGCCCAACGUAUUAACGGACCACAAACGGGCCGACUGUAACCACGGGCUGAAUUUGGCCCACAAGCAGAAAAUGACAGUAACGGGCCGUAAGUAAACGAAUGCUGGAAAAUAGCCCAAGAAUAAAUGUGCUCUGAGAAGGCCGAAAGAUAACAUGGGCUGGAAACGACCCAACGGAAUAACGGGCCGUUAAUGGGUAUAAAGUGAUACACUGUUCUUUACGGGCCAGUUUCACCACGGGCUGUUAAUGGGUGUAAAGUGAUACACUGUUCAUUACGGGCCAGUUUCACCACGGGCCGUUAAUAGGCCAAGAGUUACAUAUGGCCUCAUAUGGGCCGAAAGACGUCAUGGGCCAUACAUGGGCCAGAAGUGAAAAUGGGCUGGAAUCAUAUUGGAUGGCCCAGAUGAUGCUACUGGGCCUAAUUUGAAUAGGGCGUAAUGGGCCUUGGGUUAGCGGGCUGUAAAUGGGCUAUAUGCGAACAGGCCGUUAACAGGCUUUCCAAGGGCCGGCCCGCCACCUUUUGACCAAGUCAAACGGGCCGGCCUUUUCAUAGGAAUGGGCCUCUGUUGGGCCGUGCCACGUGUUGACGUACCAUAGACGCCUUCUGUCCAAUGAGUGGAUGACAUCUGUCCCAGCGAUGAGCCGACACGUGUUUCCUCCAGCCAAUGAUGAUUUUACACGUGGAAAAUCCCCAUUGGUCGGGGCUGUUAACGGGUUAUCGGAUCCAAAACCUGACCCGAUAGCUUAACGGCGUUCCGUUACGGUGGAAGCCACGUGUCGGUCACCCUUGACGAAAGCACUUCUAUGACGCGCGAUUUAUCGUCAUGGAAGUGGACACUUCCGUGAUGAUAAUUUUGGUAAUGUCAUGGAACACUUAUACGACAGCACAGGUAUGACUAUCUUGAUUCUGUCAUAAAAUCGUCAUGGAUGUACAUGCAUGACUGAAAACGCGACCUACUGUGACAAACAUGUAUCAUCAUGGAAGUGUAUUUUUUUGUAGUGCGUGUUGCGGUUAUGCUUUAGAGACGGCUGCAUUCACGUUAAAUAGGGUAGCAACUGAAUCCGUUGACAUGACACCUUAUGAACUGUGGUUUGGCAAGAAACCCAAGUUGUCAUUUCUUAAAGUUUGGGGCUGCGAUGCUCAUGUAAAAAAGCUUCAACCAAAUCGGAGAAGUGUGUCUUCAUAGGAUACCCAAAGGAGACUAUUGGGUACACCUUCUAUCACAUAUCUGAAGGCAAGACAUUCAUUUCUAAAAAUGGAACCUUUCUAGAGAAGGAGUUUCUCUCUAAAGAAGUGAGUGCGAGGAAAGUAGAACUUGAUAAGGUAAAUGUACCUGCUCCCUUAUUGGAAAGUAGUUCAUCACAUAAAUCAGUUCCUGUCACUACUACAUCAAUUAGUGAGGAAGCUAAUGAUGAUGAUCGUGUAACUUCAGAUCAAGUUACUACUGAACCUCGUAGGUCAACCAGAGUAAGAUCCGCACCAGAGUGGUACGGUAAUCCCGUUCUGGAGGUCAUGUUACUUGACCAUGACGAACCUAUGAACUAUGAGGAAGCGAUGAUGAGCCCAGAUUCCGUAAAAUGGCUUGAGGCCAUGAAAUCUGAGAUGGGAUCCAUGUAUGAGAACAAAGUGUGGACUUUGGUUGACUUGCCCGAUUAUCGGCAAGCCAUCGAGAAUAAAUGGAUCUUCAAGAAGAAGACUGACGCUGACGGUAAUGUUACUAUCUACAAAGCUCGACUUGUUGCGAAAGGUUUUGACAAGUUCAAGGAGUUGACUACGAUGAGACCUUCUCACCCGUAGCGAUGCGUAAGACUGUCUGAUUCAUGGUAGCAAUUGCUGCAUUUUAUGAUUAUGAAAUUUGGCAAAUGGAUGUAAAGACUGCAUUCCUGAAUGGAUUUCUGGAAGAAGAGUUGUAUAUGAUGCAACCCGAAGGUUUUAUCAAUCCAAAGGAUGCUAACAAAGUGUGCAAGCUCCAGCGAUCCAUUUAUGGACUGGUGCAAGCAUCUUAGAGUUGGAAUAAAUGUUUUGAUAGUGUGAUCAAAGCAUAUGGCUUUAUACAGACUUUUGGAGAAGCCUGUAUUUACAAGAAAGUGAGUGGGAGCUCUAUAGCAUUUCUAAUAUUAUAUGUGGAUGACAUAUUGUUGAUUGGAAAUGAUAUAUAAUUUCUGGAUAGCAUAAAAGGACACUUGAAUAAGAGUUUUUCAAUGAAAGACCUCGGUGAAGCUACUUAUAUAUUGGGCAUCAAGAUCUAUAGAGAUAGAUUAAGACGCUUAAUUGGACUUUCACAAAGCACAUACCUUGAUAAAGUUUUGAAGAAGUUCAAAAUGGAUCAAGCAAAGAAAGGGUUCUUGCCUGUGUUACAAGGUGUGAAAUUGAGUCAGACUCAAUGCCCGACCACUGCAGAAGAUAGAGAGAAAAUGAAGGUCAUUCCCUAUGCUUCAGCCAUAGGUUCUAUCAUGUAUGCAAUGUUGUGUACCAGACCUGAUGUGUGCCUUGCUAUUAGUUUAGCAGGGAGGUACCAAAGUAAUCCAGGGGUGGAUCACUGGACAGCGGUCAAGAAAAUCCUGAAAUACCUGAAAAGGACUAAGGAUAUGUUUCUCGUUUAUGGAGGUGACAAAGAGCUCGUCAUAAAUGGUUACGUCGAUGCAAGCUUUGACACUGAUCCGGAUGACUCUAAAUCACAAACCGGAUAUGUAUUUAUAUUGAACGGUGGAACUGUAAGUUGGUGCAGUUCUAAGCAAAGCGUCGUGGCGGGAUCUACGUGUGAAGCGGAGUACUUAGUUGCUUCGGAAGCAGCAAAUGAAGGAGUCUGGAUGAAGGAGUUCAUAUCCGAUCUAGGUGUCAUACCUAGCGCAUCGGGUCCAAUGAAAAUCUUUUGUGACAAUACUGGUGCAAUUGCCUUGGCAAAGGAAUCCAGAUUUCACAAGAGAACCAAGCACAUCAAGAGACGCUUCAAUUCCAUCCGCGAUCAAGUCAUGGAGGGAGACAUAGAGAUUUGCAAGAUACAUACGGAUCUGAAUGUUGCCGACCCGUUGACUAAGCCUCUCUCACGAGCAAAAACAUGAUCGCACCAAGACUCCAUGGGUGUUAGAAUCAUUACUAUGUAAUCUAGAUUAUUGACUCUAGUGCAAGUGGGAGACUGAAGGAAAUAUGCCCUAGAGGCAAUAAUAAAGUUGUUAUUUAUAUUUCCUUAUAUCAUGAUAAAUGUUUAUUAUUCAUGCUAGAAUUGUAUUAACCGGAAACUUAGUACAUGUGUGAAUACAUAGACAAACAGAGUGUCACUAGUAUACCUCUACUUGACUAGCUCAUUGAAUCAAAGAUGGUUAAGUUUCGUAACCAUAGACAUGAGUUGUCAUUUGAUUAACGGGGUCACAUCAUUAGAGAAUGAUGUGAUUGACUUGACCCAUCCGUUAGCUUAGCAUGAUGAUCAUUUAGUUUGUUGCUAUCUCUUUCUUCAUGACUUAUAGAUGUUCCUACGACUAUGAGAUUAUGCAACUCCCGAAUACCGGAGGAACACUUUGUGUGCUAUCAAACGUCACAACGUAACUGGGUGAUUAUAAAGCUGCUCUACAGGUGUCUCUGAUGGUGUUUGUUGAGUUGGCAUAGAUCGAGAUUAGGAUUUGUCACUCCGACUUUCGGAGAGGUAUCUCUGGGCCCUCUCGGUAAUGCACAUCACUAUAAGCCUUGCAAGCAAUGUAACUAAUGAGUUAGUUGUAGGAUGAUGCAUUACGGAACGAUUAAAGAGACUUGCCGGUAACGAGAUUAAACUAGGUAUUGAGAUACCGACGAUCGAAUCUCGGGCAAGUAACAUACCGAUUACAAAGGGAACAACGUAUGUUGUUAUGCGGUUUGACCGAUAAAGAUCUUCGUAGAAUAUGUAGGAACCAAUAUGAGCAUCCAGGUUCCGCUAUUGGUUAUUGACCGGAGAUGAGUCUCGGUCAUGUCUACAUAGUUCUCGAACCCAUACGGUCCGCACACUUAACGUUCGGUGACGAUCGGUAUUAUGAGUUUAUGUGUUUUUAUGUACUGAAGGUUGUUCAGAGUCCCAGAUGUUAUCACGGACAUGACGAGGAGUCUCAAAAUGGUCGAUACAUAAAGAUCGAUAUAUUGGAUGGCUAUGUUUGGACACCGGAAUGGUUCCGGGUGAGUUCGGGCAUUUACAGGAGUACCGGGAGGUUACCGGAACCCCCCGGGGAGUAUAUGGGCCUUAUUGGGCCUUAGUGGGAGAGAGGAGGAGGCGCCCCCCCCCCAAGCCCAAUCCGAAUUGGGGUGGGGGGCCGGCCCCCCUUUCCUUCUCCCUCUCUCCUCCUUCCUUCCUCUCCUACUCCAAUUAGGGAAGGGGGAAUCCUACUCCCGGUGGGAGUAGGACUCCCCCUUGGGCGCGCCAUAGAGAAGGCCGGCCCUCCCCUCCUCCACUCCUUUAUAUACGGGGGAGGGGGCACCCCAUAGACACACAAGUUGAUUGUUUAGCCGUGUGCCGUGCCCCCCUCCAUAGAUUUCCACCUCGGUCAUAUCGUUGUAGUGCUUAGGCAAAGCCCUGCGUCGGUAACUUCAUCAUCACCGUCAUCACGCCGUCGUGUUGACGAUCCUCUCCCUCGACCUCAGCUGGAUCUAGAGUUCGCGGGACGUCACCGAGCUGAACAUGUGCAGAUCGCGGAGGUGUCGUACUUUCGGUACUAGGAUCGGUCGGAUCGUGAAGACGUGCGACUACAUCAACCGCGUUGUCAUAACUCUUCCGCUUUCGGUCUACGAGGGUACAUGGACAACACUCUCCCCUCUCAUUGGUAUGCAUCACCUAGAUGGAUCUUGCAUGUGCAUAGGAAUUUUUUUUGAAAUUACUGCGUUCCCCAACACAUACACUCAAUAUAAAUGGUUUAUUGAAUCUUGAUCGUAGUGAUACACAUAUUCAUAAUAUUGAAGCCAAAAGAUGCAAAGUUAAUAAUGAUAGUGCAACUUAUUUAUGGCACUGCCGUUUAGGUCAUAUUGGUGUAAAGCGCAUGAGGAAACUCCAUGCUGAUGGGCUUUUGGAAUCACUUGAUUAUGAAUCACUUCAUGCUUGCGAACCAUGCCUCAUGGGCAAGAUGACUAAGACUCCGUUCUCCAAAACAAUGGAGCGAGCAACUGACUUAUAUGAAAUAAUACAUACUGAUGUAUGCGAUCCGAUGAGUGUUGAGGCUCGCGGCGGGUAUCAUUAUUUUCUAACCUUCAUGGAUGAUUUGAGCAGAUAUGGGUAUAUCUACUUGAUGAAACAUAAGUCAGAAACAUUUGAAAAGUUCAAAGAAUUUCAUAGUGAAGAGGAAAAUCAUCGUAACAAGAAAAUAAAGUUUCUACGGUCUAAUCGUGGAGACAAAUAUUUGAGUUACGAGUUUGGUCUUCAAUUAAACAAUGUGGAAUAGUUUCACGAACUCAUGCCACCUGGAACACCACAGCAUAAUGGUGUGUCCGAACGUCAUAACAAUACUUUAUUGGAUAUAGUGCAAUCUAUGAUGUCUCUUACCGAUUUACCACUAUCGUUUUGGGGUUAUGCAUUAGAGACAGCUACAUUCACAUUAAAUAGGGCACCGUCUAAUCCAUUGAGACGACACUGUAUGAACUAUGGUUUGGCAAGAAACCUAAGCUGUCGUUUCUUAAAGUUUGGGGUUGCGAUGCUUAUGUGAAAAAGUUUCAACCUGAUAAGCUCGAACCCAAAUCGGAGAAGUGCGUCUUCAUAGGAUACCCAAAAGAAAAUGUUGGGUACACCUUCUAUCACAGAUCCGAAGGCAAGAUCUUUGUUGCUAAGAAUGGAUUCUUUCUAGAGAAGAAGUUUCUCUCGAAAGAAGUGAGUGGGAGGAAAGUAGAACUUGAUGAGGUAAUUGUACCUUCUCCCGAAUUGGAAAGUAGUUCAUCACAGAAAUCAGUUCCAGUGAUGCCUACACCAAUUAGUGAGGAAGUUAAUGAUGAUGAUCAUGAAACUUCAGAUCAAUUUACUACCGAACCUCGUAGGUCAACUAGAGUACGUUCCGCACCAGAGUGGUACGGUAAUCCGGUUCUGGAAGUCAUGUUACUAGACCAUGACGAACCUACGAACUAUGAGGAAGCGAUGAUGAGCCCUGAUGACCCACAAGUAUAGGGGAUCUAUCAUAGUCCUUUCAAUAAGUAAGAGUGUCGAACCCAACGAGGAGCAGAAGGAAAUGAUAAGCGGUUUUCAGCAAGGUAUUCUCUGCAAGCACUGAAAUAAUAGGUAACAGAUAGUUUUGUGAUAGGAUAAUUGGUAACGAGCAACAAGUAACAAAAGUAAAUAAAGUGCAGCAAGGUGGCCCAAUCCUUUUUGUAGCAAAGGACAAGCCUGGACAAACUCUUAUAUAGAGAAAAGCGCUCCCGAGGACACAUGGGAAUUAUCGUCAAGCUAGUUUUCAUCACGUUCAUAUGAUUCGCGUUCAGUAGUUUGAUAAUUUGAAAUUAACCAAAUCAGCCUCUUACGAAGCAACGCAUAAACUAGGGUUUAAGCUUUUGUCACUCUAGCAACCCAUCAUCUACUUAUUACAUCCCAAUGCCUUCCUCUAGGCCCAAAUAAUGGUGAAGUGUCAUGUAGUCGACGUUCACAUGACACCACUAGAGGAGAGACAACAUACAUCUCAUCAAAAUAUCGAACGAAUACCAAAUCCACAUGACUACUAAUAGCAAGACUUCUCCCAUGUCCUCAGGAACAAACGUAACUACUCACAAAGCAAAUUCAUGUUCAUAAUCAGAGGAGUAUUAAUAUGCAUAUAGGAUCUGAACAUAUGAUCUUCCACCAAAUAAACCAACUAGCAUCAACUACAAGGAGUAAUCAACACUACUAGCAACCUACAGGUACCAAUCCCAGACUUGGAGACAAGAAUUGGAUACAAGAGAUGAACUAGGGUUUGAGAGGAGAUGGUGCUGGUGAUGAUGUUGAUGGAGAUUUCCCUCUCCAGAUGAGAGGAGCGUUGGUGAUGACGAUGGCGAUGAUUUCCCCCUCCCGGAGGGAAGUGUCCCCGGCAGAACAGCUCUGCCGGAGCCCUAGAUUGGUUCUGCCAAGGUUCCGCCUCGUGGCGGCGGAGUCUCGUCCCGAAAGCUUGCUUAUGAUUUUUCUUCGGAUGAAAGACUUCAUAUAGCAGAAAAUGGGCACCGGAGGGCCAAAAGGGGGCCCACGAGGCAGGGGGCACGCCCAGGGGGUAGGGCGCACCCCCCACCCUCGUGGACAGGUGGAUGCCCCCCUGAUGUGGAUUCUUCUUCCAGUAUUUUUUAUUAUUUCCAAAAAUAACUUUCGUGGAGCUUCAGGACUUUUGGAGUUGUGCAGAAUAGGUCUCUAAUAUUUGCUCCUUUUCCAGCCCAGAAUUCCAGCUGCCGGCAUUCUCCCUCCUUAUGUAAACCUUGUAAAAUAAGAGAGAAUAGGCAUAAGUAUUGUGACAUAAUGUGUAAUAACAGCCCAUAAUGCCAUAAAUAUCAAUAUAAAAGCAUGAUGCAAGAUGGACGUAUCAACUCCCCCAAGCUUAGACCUCGCUUGUCCUCAAACGAAAGCCGAUAACGAUAAAUAUGUCCACAUGUUUAGAGGUAGAGGUGUCGAUAAAAUAAAAUACGAACAUGAGGGCAUCAUGAUUAUUCUCAUAACAGCAACAUAUAUGGAUAUUGUCAUAUGAUUUCUUAUUCUCAAGUAAUAAUCUAUUCACAAUGCAAAGUACGAAUCAGAAACUUUAUUGGGAACUAACAAACUAUAAUCUCAGUCAUUGAGGCAAUUGCAAUUUAUCAUAACAUCAGAAAGAGUCUAUGUCAGAGCUUUCUAGCAAGUCCACAUACUCAACUAUCAUUUAGUCUUUCAUAAUUGCUAACACUCACGCAAUACUUGUGGUUACGGAGUUUUAAUCAGACGCAGAGAAAGAUAGGGGCUUAUAGUUUCGCCUCCCAACCUUUUACAUCAAGGGUAAUGUCAACAAUAAUAACUCAUGCUAACCCACAUCCAAUUAGAUAUAUAUAUAUAUAUAUAUAUAUCAGGAUCUUUCCAACAUCUUGUGCUUGCCAAAGGAUAAAAUGUAUAAAGGAAAGGUGAAGAUCACCAUGACUCUUGCAUAAGGUAGAAGAUAAUAAUAAUAGAUAGGCCCUUCGCAGAGGGAAGCAGAGGUUGCCAUGCGGUUUCAGGGUUGGAUGCACAAAAUCUUAAUGCGAAAGAACGUCACUUUAUAUUGCCACUUGUGAUAUGAACCUUUAUUAUGCAGUCCGUCGCUUUUAUUUCUUCCACAUCACAAGAUCGUAUAAAGCUUAUUUCCUCCACACCAAUCAAUCAUACAUUUUUAAAGAGCAAUUUUUAUUGCUUGCACCGAUGAUAACUUACUUGAAGGAUCUUACUCAAUCCAUAGGUAGAUAUGGUGGACUCUCAUGGCAAAACUGGUUUAAGGGUUUUUGGAAGCACAAGUAGUAUCUCUACUUGGUGCAAAGAAUUUGGCUAGCAUGAGGGGGAAAGGCAAGCUCAACAUGUUGGAUGAUCCAUGAUAAUAUACUUUAUCUCAGAUAUAAGAAAACAUAACCCAUUACGUUGUCUUCCUUGUCCAACAUCAACUCUUUAGCAUGUCAUAUUUUAAUGAGUGCUCCCAAUCAUAAAAGAUGUCCAAGAUAGUAUAUUUAUAUGUGAAACGUCUCUUUCUUUAUUACUUCCUAUUAAUUGCAACGAUGACCAAAGCUAUGUUUGCCAACUCUCAACAACUUUUAAUCAUCAUACUCUUUCUAUGUGAAGUCAUUACUAUCCAUAAGAUCAAUAUGAUCUCUUUGUUUCUUUUUAUUCUUUUCUCUUUUCUUUUAUUCACUCAAGAUCAUAGCAAGAUAAUCAAGCCCUUGACUCAACACUAAUCUUUAUUAUAUAUAGCUCACGGACUCGAUUACAUAGAAAGAUCAUAAAGCAAAACUCAAAACUAGAUCAUACCAAAACUUUAUUCUACUAGAUCAAGAUACUACUAAUAGGAUCGAACUAAGAAAAACGGUAAAGAUAGGAGAUGUGGUGAUGAUACGAUACCGGGGAAUAUCCCCCAAGCUUGGCAGUUGCCAAAGGGAGUGCCCAUACCCAUGUGAUUAUGUUUCCUUUGCUGGUGAAGAAGAUGGUGGUGAUGAUGGGUAGUCGCACAUCGAGCGUAAGAGAUCCUCCAACUUGCGGAUAAUGCCCUUGAGUGCAAUGAUACGCUCCUUCAACAAAAUAUGUUCACGUGUGAGAUACUUGUUUUGUAUACGAGCUAACUCAAUCAUCUUGAAAGCUUCGACCUCAGUUGGGGUGAGAAGAUUGUGAUCAAGUUGAAGGAUGUCUUCUGUUGCCGGAACUUGGUCCUCCGUGGCCUUCUUGAUCCCUUCAUCCUUGCUGAUCUCCAUGGGUUCUUCCCUCUUCAGCUCUGUCUUCAUUAGCCAAGCAUCGUUGUCACCAUUGUUGGAGGAGGGGGACGACAUGCCUGGCCUUGACAACCCUGACAGAAAACAGCUCGAAACAAGAACAGAGGAUAAUUGCGUGAUACGGUGGUCAAAACCUUCGGGAGAUUAUAUAGUGAAUUUUUACCGACCAAAAUACGUAUCGUGCAAGAAAACGGAGUCCGGAGAGCGCACGAGGUGCCCACGAGGUAGGGGGACGCACCUAGUAGGGUAGGGCGCGCCCUCCACCCUCGUGGAGGCCUCGUGUCCUUCCCGGACUGCUUCUUAUUUUUCUAUUUUUCUAAAUAUUCCAAAACGGAGAAAAAUUGCCAUUAGAACUGUUUUGGAGUCGGUUUACUUACCGUACCACAUACCUAUUCCUUUUCGGAGUCUGAAACAUUCCGGAAAGUGUCCCUUAUGUAUUCCUCUGGGGUUACGGUUUCAAUAACAUUGGUUUUGACAUUUAUGGGAUUACCUGGGAUAUAAUGUUUAAUUCUUUGACCGUUCACCACCUUCGGAUUUGUGCCUUCGAAGUUGUUGAUUUUUAUGGCACCGGAACGAUAGAGCUCCUCGAUAACGUAAGGGCCUUCCCAUUUAGAGAGAAGUUUUCCUGCAAAAAAUAUUAAACGAGAGUUGUAUAGCAAUACAUAAUAACCUACAUUAAACUCACGCUUUUGUAUCAUUUUGUCAUGCCAUCUUUUAACUUUUUCUUUAAACAAUUUGGCAUUCUCAUAGGCUUGGGUUCUCCAUUCAUCAAGUGAGCUAAUGUCAAAUAACCUCUUCUCACCGGCAAGUUUGAAAUCAUAGUUGAGCUUUAAUAGCCUAAUAAGCCUUAUGUUAUAGUUCGAGAGGUAAAUGACAUGCUUUUCCAUAAACCAUUUUAUACGGAGACAUACCAAUAGGAUUUUUAUAUGCAGUUCUAUAGGCCCAUAAUGCAUCAUCAAGUUUCUUGGACCAAUUCGUUCUAGAUCUUAUUAACAGUCUUUUGCAAAAUUAAUUUGAGUUCUCUAUUGCUCAAUUCUACUUGACCACUAGACUGUGGGUGAUAAGGAGAUGCAAUUCUAUGAUUAACAUCAUACUUAGCAAGCAUUUUACGGAAAGCACCAUGAAUAAAAUGUGAACCACUAUCAGUCAUUAAAUAUCUAGGGACUCCAAACCUCGGAAAAAUAACUUCCUUAAGCAUCUUAAUAGAGGUGUUAUGAUCAGCACUACUAGUUGGAAUAGCUUCUACCCACUUAGUAACGUAAUCAACAACAACUAAAAUAUGUGUGUAUCCAUUAGAGGCAGGAAACGGUCCCAUAUAAUCAAACCCCCAAACAUCGAAUGGUUCAAUAACAAAUGAAUAAUUCAUAGGCAUUUCUUGACGUCUACUAAUAUUACCAAUUCUUUGACAUUCAUCACAAGAUAAGACAAACUUACGGGAAUCCUUGAAGAGAGUAGGCCAAUAAAAACCGAAUUGCAAUACCUUAUGUGCAGUUCUAUCUCCAGCAUGGUGUCCUCCAUAAGCCUCGGAAUGAUACUUGCGUAGGAUCUGUUGCUGUUCCUGCUCAGGUACACAACAUCUAAUAACACCAUCUACUCCUUCUUUAUAAAGAUGUGGGUCAUCCCAAAAGUAAUGUCUCAAAUCAUAGAAAAACUUUUUCUUUUGCUGGUAUGUGAAACUAGGUGGUAUAAAUUUAGCAACAAUGUAAUUAUCAUAAUCAACAUACCAUGGAGUAGUACGAGAAGCAUUUAUGACAUUUAAUUGUUCAUCAGGGAAGCUAUCAUCAAUAGGUAGUGGGUCAUCAAGAACAUUUUCUAACCUAGACAAGUUAUCUGCAACGGAGUUCUCAGCUCCCUUUCUAUCAAUAAUAUGCAAAUCAAAUUCUUGUAACAAGAGAACCCAUCUAAUAAAUCUAGGUUUAGCAUCUUUCUUUUCCAUAAGAUAUUUAAUAACAGCAUGAUCAGUGUGAAUAGUUACUUUAGAAUCAACAAUAUAGGGUCUGAACUUAUCACAAGCAAAUACAACUGCUAAGAAUUCUUUUUCAGUAGUAGCAUAAUUUCUCUGAGCAUUGUCUAGAGUUUUACUAGCGUAUUGAAUAACAUUUAAUUUCUUAUCAACUCUUUGCCCUAGAACAGCACCUACAGCAUAAUCACUAGCAUCACACAUGAUUUCAAAAGGUAAAUUCCAAUCAGGUGGCUGAACAAUAGGUGCAGAUAUCAAUGCUUUCUUAAGUAUUUCAAAUGCUUCUACACAAUCAUCAUCAAAGACAAAUGGUAUAUCUUUUUGUAAUAAAUUAGUCAGAGGCCGAGAAAUUUUUGAGAAAUCAUUAAUGAACCUCCUAUAAAAACCGGCGUGACCGAGGAAACUUCUUAUACCUUUGAUGUCCUUGGGACAUGGCAUCUUUUCAAUAGCAUCAACCUUAGCUUUAUCAACUUCAAUACCUCUAUCAGAAACUUUAUGCCCCAAGACAAUACCUUCAUUAACCAUAAAGUGGCACUUUGUUGGGGAACGUAGUAAUUUCAAAAAAAUUCCUACGCACACGCAAGAUCAUGGCGAUGCAUAGCAACGAGAGGGGAGAGUGUUGUCCACGUACCCUCGUAGACCGAAAGCGGAAGCGUUAACACAACGCGGUUGAUGUAGUCGUACGUCUUCACGAUCCGACCGAUCAAGUACCGAACGCACGGCACCUCCGAGUUCAGCACACGUUCAGCUCGAUGACAUCCCUCGAACUCUGAUCCAGCCGAGUGUUGAGGGAGAGUUUCGUCAGCACGACGGUGUGGUGACGAUGAUGAUGUUCUAACGACGCAGGGCUUCGCCUAAACACCGCUACGAUAUUAUCGAGGUGUAAUAUGGUGGAGGGGGCACCGCACACGGCUAAAAGAUCGUUGAUCAAUUGUGUGUCUAGAGGUGCCCCCCUGCCCCCGUAUAUAAAGGAGCAAGGGGGAGGCCACCGGCCAAGGAGGAGAGGCACGCCAGGAGGAGUCCUACUCCUACCGGGAGUAGGACUCCCCCCCCUUUUCCAUGUUGGACUAGGAGAGAGAGGGGGAAGAGGUGGAGGGGAGGAAGGAAGGGGGGGCGCCGCCCCCCUCUCCUUGUCCUAUUCGGACUGGGGGGAGGGGCGCGCGGCCCUGCCCUGGCCUCCUCUCCUCUCUUCCACCUAGGCCCACUAAGGCCCAUUAAGUUACCGGGGGGGUCUGGUAACCUCCCGGUACUCCGGAAAAAUCCCGAUUUCACCCGGAUCACUUCCGAUGUCCAAACAUAGGUUUCCAAUAUAUCAAUAUUUAUGUCUCGACCAUUUCAAGACUCCUUGUCAUGUCCGUGAUCACAUCCGGGACUCCGAACAACCUUCGGUACAUCAAAACAUAUAAACUCAUAAUAUAACUGUCAUCGUAACGUUAAGCGUGCGGACCCUACGGGUUUGAGAACUAUGUAGACAUGACCGAGACACCUCUCCGGUCAAUAACCAAUAGCGGAACCUGGAUGCUCAUAUUGGUUCCCACAUAUUCUACGAAGAUCUUUAUCGGUCAGACCGCAUAACAACAUACGUUGUUCCCUUUGUCAUCGGUAUGUUACUUGCCCGAGAUUCGAUCGUCGGUAUUUCGAUACCUAGUUCAAUCUCGUUACCGGCAAGUCUCUUUACUCGUUCCGUAAUACAUCAUCCCGCAACUAACUCAUUAGUUACAAUGCUUGCAAGGCUUAUAGUGAUGUGUAUUACUGAGUGGGCCCAGAGAUACCUCUCCGACAAUCGGAGUGACAAAUCCUAAUCUCGAAAUACGCCAACCCAACAAGUACCUUUGGAGACACCUGUAGAGCACCUUUAUAAUCACCCAGUUACGUUGUGACGUUUGGUAGCACACAAAGUGUUCCUCUGGUAAACGGGAGUUGCAUAAUCUCAUAGUCAUAGGAACAUGUAUAAGUCAUGAAGAAAGCAAUAGCAACAUACUAAACGAUCGAGUGCUAAGCUAACGGAAUGGGUCAAGUCAAUCACAUCAUUCUCCUAAUGAUGUGAUCCCGUUAAUCAAAUGACAACUCAUGUCUAUGGCUAGGAAACAUAACCAUCUUUGAUCAACGAGCUAGUCAAGUAGAGGCAUACCAGUGGCACUCUGUUUGUCUAUGUAUUCACACAUGUAUUAUGUUUCCAGUUAAUACAAUUCUAGCAUGAAUAAUAAACAUUUAUCAUGAUAUAAGGAAAUAGAUAAUAACUUUAUUAUUGCCUCUAGGGCAUAUUUCCUUCAGUCUCCCACUUGCACUAGAGUCAAUAAUCUAGAUUACACAGUAAUGAUUCUUACACCCAUGGAGUCUUGGUGCUGAUCGUGAUUUGCUUGUGGAAGAGGCUUAGUCAACGGGUCUGCAACAUUCAGAUCCGUAUGUAUCUUGCAAAUUUCUAUGUCUCCCACCUACCCUAAAUCCCGGAUGGAAUUGAAGCGUCUUUUGAUGUGCUUGGUUCUCUUGUGAAAUCUGGAUUCCUUUGCUAAGGCAAUUGCACCAGUAUUGUCACAAAAGAUUUUCAUUGGUCCCGAUGCACUAGGUAUGACACCUAGAUCGGAUAUGAACUCCUUCAUCCAGACUCCUUCAUUUGUUGCUUCCGAAGCAGCUAUGUAUUCCGCUUCACACGUAGAUCCCGCCACGACACUUUGCUUAGAACUGCACCAACUGACAGCUCCACCGUUCAAUGUAAACACGUAUCCGGUUUGCGAUUUAGAAUCAUCCGGAUCAGUGUCAAAGCUUGCAUCAAUGUAACCAUUUACGAUGAGCUCUUUGUCACCUCCAUAAAUGAGAAACAUAUCCUUAGUCCUUUUCAGGUAUUUCAGGAUGUUCUUGACCGCUGUCCAGUGAUCCACUCCUGGAUUACUUUGGUACCUCCCUGCUAAACUUAUAGCAAGGCACACAUCAGGUCUGGUACACAGCAUUGCAUACAUGAUAGAGCCUAUGGCUGAAGCAUAGGGAACAUCUUUCAUCUUCUCUCUAUCUUCUGCAGUGGUCGGGCAUUGAGUCUUACUCAAUCUCACACCUUGUAGUACAGGCAAGAACCCUUUCUUUGCUUGAUCCCUUUUGAACUUCUUCAAAACUUUGUCAAGGUAUGUGCUUUGUGAAAGUCCAAUUAAGCGUCUUGAUCUAUCUCUAUAGAUCUUGAUGCCCAAUAUAUAUACAGCUUCACCGAGGUCUUUCAUUGAAAAACUCUUAUUCAAGUAUCCCUUUAUGUUAUCCAGAAAUUCUAUAUCAUUUCCAAUUAACAAUAUGUCAUCCACAUAUAAUAUCAGAAAUGCUACUGAGCUCCCACUCACUUUCUUGUAAAUACAGGCUUCUCCAAAAGUCUGUAUAAAACCAAAUGCUUUGAUCACACUAUCAAAGCGUUUAUUCCAACUCCGAGAGGCUUGCACCAGUCCAUAAAUGGAUCGCUGGAGCUUGCACACUUUGUUAGCUCCCUUUGGAUCGACAAAACCUUCUGGUUGCAUCAUAUACAACUCUUCUUCCAGAAAUCCAUUCAGGAAUGCAGUUUUGACAUCCAUUUGCCAAAUUUCAUAAUCAUAAAAUGCGGCAAUUGCUAACAUGAUUCGGACAGACUUAAGCAUCGCUACGGGUGAGAAGGUCUCAUCGUAGUCAAUCCCUUGAACUUGUCGAAAACCUUUCGCAACAAGUCGAGCUUUAUAGACAGUAACAUUACCGUCAGCGUCAGUCUUCUUCUUGAAGAUCCAUUUAUUUUCAAUGGCUUGCCAAUCAUCGGGCAAGUCAACCAAAGUCCAUACUUUGUUCUCAUACAUGGAUCCCAUCUCGGAUUUCAUGGCCUCAAGCCAUUUUGCGGAAUCUAGGCUCACCAUCGCUUCUUCAUAGUUCGUAGGUUCGUCAUGGUCUAGUAACAUAACCUCCAGAACAGGAUUACCGUACCACUCUGGUGCGGAUCUUAAUCUGGUUGACCUAUGAGGUUCAGUAAUAACUUGAUCUGAAGUUUCAUGAUCAUUGUCAUUAACUUCCUCACUAAUUGGUGUAGGUGUCGCAGAAACUGAUUUCUGUGAUAAUUUACUUUCCAAUAAGGGAGCAGGUACAGUUACCUCAUCAGUUCUACUUUCCUCCCACUCACUUCUUUCGAGAGAAACUCCUUCUCUAGAAAGGAUCCAUUCUUAGCAACGAAUGUCUUCCCUUCGGAUCUGUGAUAGAAGGUGUACCCAAUAGUCUCCUUUGGGUAUCCUAUGAAGACACAUUUCUCCGAUUUAGGUUCGAGCUUAUCAGGUUGAAGUUUCUUCACAUAAGCAUCGCAACCCCAAACUUUAAGAUACGACAACUUUGGUUUCUUGCCAAACCAUAGUUCAUAAGGUGUCGUUUCAACGGAUUUUGAUGGUGCCCUAUUUAGAGUGAAUGCAGCCGUCUCUAAAGCAUAACCCCAAAACGAUAGCGGUAAAUCAGUAAGAGACAUCAUAGAUCGCACCAUAUCUAAUAAAGUACGAUUACAACGUUCGGACACACCAUUACGUUGUGGUGUUCCGGGUGGCGUGAGUUGCGAAACUAUUCCGAUUCAAAUGUAGACCAAACUCGUAACUCAAAUAUUCUCCUCCACCAUCUGAUCGUAGAAACUUUAUUUUCUUGUUACGAUGAUUUUCAACUUCGCACUGAAAUUCUUUGAACUUUUCAAAUGUUUCAGACUUAUGUUUCAUUAAGUAGAUAUACCCAUAUCUGCUCAAAUCAUCGGUGAAGGUGAGAAAAUAACGAUAUCCGCCACGAGCCUCAAUAUUCAUCGGACCACAUACAUCUGUAUGUAUGAUUUCCAACAAAUUAGUUGCUCUCUCCAUAGUACCGGAGAACGGUGUUUUAGUCAUCUUGCCCAUGAGACACGGUUCGCAAGUACCAAGUGAUUCAUAAUCAAGUGAUUCCAAAAGUCCAUCAUUAUGGAGUUUCUUCAUGCGCUUUACACCGAUAUGACCUAAACGGCAGUGCCACAAAUAAGUUGCACUAUCAUUAUCAACUCUGCAUCUUUUGGCUUCGACAUUAUGAAUAUGUGUGUCACUAAUACCGAGAUUCAUUAAAAAUAGACCACUCUUCAAGGGUGCAUGACCAUAAAAGAUAUUACUCAUAUAAAUAGAACAACCAUUAUUCUCUGAUUUAAAUGAAUAACCGUCUCGCAUCAAACAAGAUCCAGAUAUAAUGUUCAUGCCCAACGCUGGCACCAAAUAACAAUUAUUUAGGUCUAAUGCUAAUCCCGAAGGUAGAUGUAGAGGUAGCAUGCCGACGGCGAUCACAUCGACUUUGGAACCAUUUCCCACGCGCAUCGUCACCUCGUCCUUAACCAAUCUUCGCUUAAUCCGUAGCCCCUGUUUCGAGUUGCAAAUAUUAGCAACAAAACUAGUAUCAAAUACCCAGGUGCUACUGCGAGCAUUAGUAAGGUACACAUCAAUAACAUGUAUAUCACAUAUACCUUUGUUCACCUUGCCAUCCUUCUUAUCCGCCAAAUACUUGGGGCAGUUCCGCUUCCAGUGACCAGUCUGCUUGCAGUAGAAGCACUCAGUCUCAGGCUUAGGUCCAGACUUGGGUUUCUUCUCCUGAACAGCAACUUGCUUGUUGUUCUUCUUGAAGUUCCCCUUCUUCUUCCCUUUGCCCUUUUUCUUGAAACUAGUGGUCUUAUUGACCAUCAACAUUUGAUGCUCCUUUUUGAUUUCUACCUCCGCUGCCUUUAGCAUUGCGAAGAGCUCGGGAAUUGUCUUAUUCAUCCCUUGCAUGUUAUAGUUCAUCACGAAGCUCUUGUAGCUUGGUGGCAGUGAUUGAAGAAUUCUGUCAAUGACGCUAUCAUCCGGAAGAUUAACUCCCAGUUGAAUCAAGUGAUUAUUAUACCCAGACAUUUUGAGUAUAUGCUCACUGACAAAACUAUUCUCUUCCACCUUGCAGAUGUAGAACUUAUUGGAGACUUCAUAUCUCUCAAUCCGGGCAUUUGCUUGAAAUAUUAACUUCAACUCCUGGAACAUCUCAUAUGCUCCAUGACGUUCAAAACGUCGUUGAAGACCCGGUUCUAAGCCGUAAAGCAUGGCACACUGAACUAUCGAGUAGUCAUCAGCUUUGCUCUGCCAGACGUUCAUAACUUCUGGUGUUGCUCUUGCAGCAGGCCUGUUACCCAGCGGUGCUUCCAGGACGUAAUUCUUCUGUGCAGCAAUGAGGAUAAUCCUCAAGUUACGGACCCAGUCCGUGUAAUUGCUACCAUCAUCUUUCAACUUUGCUUUCUCAAGGAACGCAUUAAAAUUCAACGGAACAACAGCACAGGCCAUCUAUCUACAAUUAACAUAGACAAGCAAGAUACUAUCAGGUACUAAGUUCAUGAUAAAUUCAAGUUCAAUUAAUCAUAUUACUUAAGAACUCCCACUUAGAUAGACAUCCCUCUAAUCCUCUAAGUGAUUACGUGAUCCAUAUCAACUAAACCAUGUCCGAUCAUCACGUGAGAUGGAGUAGUUUCAAUGGUGAACAUCACUAUGUUGAUCAUAUCUACUAUAUAAUUCACGCUCGACCUUUCGGUCUCCGUGUUCCGAGGCCAUAUCUGCAUAUGCUAGGCUCGUCAAGUUUAACCUGAGUAUUCCGCGUGUGCAACUGUUUUGCACCCGUUGUAUUUGAACGUAGAGCCUAUCACACCCGAUCAUCACGUGGUGUCUCAGCAUGAAGAACUUUCGCAACGGUGCAUACUCAGGGAGAACACUUUUAUCUUGAAAUUUUAGUGAGAGAUCAUCUUAAAAUGCUACCGUCAAUCAAAGCAAGAUAAGAUGCAUAAAAGAUAAACAUCACAUGCAAUCAAUAUAAGUGAUAUGAUAUGGCCAUCAUCAUCUUGUGCUUGUGAUCUCCAUCUCCGAAGCACCGUCAUGAUCACCAUCGUCACCAGCGCGACACCUUGAUCUCCAUCGUAGCAUCGUUGUCGUCUCGCCAACUAUUGCUUUUACGACUAUCGCUACCGCUUAGUGAUAAAGUAAAACAAUUACAUGGCGAUUGCAUUUCAUACAAUAAAGCGACAACCAUAUGGCUCCUGCUAGUUGCCGAUAACUCGGUUACAAAACAUGAUCAUCUCAUACAAAUAAAAUAUAGCAUCAUGUCUUGACCAUAUCACAUCACAACAUGCCCUGCAAAAACAAGUUAGACGUCCUCUACUUGGUUGUUGCAAGUUUUACGUGGCUGCUACGGGCUUAGCAAGAACCGUUCUUACCUACGCAUUAAAACCACAAUGAUAGUUUGUCAAGUCGGUGCUGUUUUAACCUUCGCAAGGACCGGGCGUAGCCACACUCGGUUCAACUAAAGUGAGAGAGACAGACACCCGCCAGUCACCUUUAAGCAACGAGUGCUCGCAACGGUGAAACCAGUCUCGCGUAAGCGUACGCGUAAUGUCGGUCCGGGCCGCUUCAUCUCACAAUACCGCCAAACCAAAGUAUGACAUGCUGGUAAGCAGUAUGACUUAUAUCGCCCACAACUCACUUGUGUUCUACUCGUGCAUAACAUCAAAGCAUAAAACCAGGCUCGGAUGCCACUGUUGGGGAACGUACUAAUUUCAAAAAAAAUUCCUACGCACACGCAAGAUCAUGGUGAUGCAUAGCAACAAGAGGGGAGAGUGUUGUCCACGUACCCUCGUAGACCAAAAGCGGAAGCGUUAACACAACGCGGUUGAUGUAGUCGUACGUCUUCACGAUCCGACCGAUCAAGUACCGAACGCACGGCACCUCCGAGUUCAGCACACGUUCAGCUCGAUGACGUCCCUCGAACUCUGAUCCAGCCGAGUGUUGAGGGAGAGUUUCGUCAGCACGACGGCAUGGUGACGAUGAUGAUGUUCUACCGACGCAGGGCUUCAUCUAAGCACCACUACAAUAUUAUCGAGGUGUAAUAUGGUGGAGGGGGGCACCGCACACGGCUAAAAGAUCGUUGAUCAAUUGUGUGUCUAGAGGUGCCCCCCUGCCCCCGUAUAUAAAGGAGCAAGGGGGAGGCCGCCGGCCAAGGAGGAGAGGCGCGCCAGGAGGAGUCCUACUCCUACCGGGAGUAGGACUCCCCCCUUUUCCAUGUUGGACUAGGAGAGAGAGGGGGAAGAGGUGGAGGGGAGGAAGGAAGGGGGCGCCGCCCCCCUCUCCUUGUCCUAUUCGGACUGGGGGGAGGGGCGCGCGGCCCUGCCCUGGCCUCCUCUCCUCUCUUCCACCUAGGCCCACUAAGGCCCAUUAAGUUACCGGGGCGUUCCGGUAACCUCCCGGUACUCCAGAAAAAUCCCGAUUUCACCCGGAUCACUUCCGAUGUCCAAACACAGGUUUCCAAUAUAUCAAUCUUUAUGUCUCGACCAUUUCGAGACUCCUCGUCAUGUCCGUGAUCACAUCCAGGACUCCGAACAACCUUCGGUACAUCAAAACAUAUAAACUCAUAAUAUAACUGUCAUCGUAACGUUAAGCGUGCGGACCCUACGGGUUCGAGAACGAUGUAGACAUGACCGAGACACCUCUCCGGUGAAUAACCAAUAGCGGAACCUGGAUGCUCAUAUUGGUUCCCACAUAUUCUACGAAGAUCUUUAUCGGUCAGACCGCAUAACAACAUACGUUGUUCCCUUUGUCAUCGGUAUGUUACUUGCCCGAGAUUCGAUCGUCGGUAUUUCGAUACAUAGUUCAAUCUCGUUACCGACAAGUCUCUUUACUCGUUCCGUAAUACAUCAUCCCGCAACUAACUCAUUAGUUACAAUGCUUGCAAGGCUUAUAGUGAUGUGUAUUACUGAGUGGGCCCAGAGAUACCCCUCCGACAAUCGGAGUGACAAAUCCUAAUCUCGAAAUACGCCAACCCAACAAGUACCUUUGGAGACACCUGUAGAGCACCUUUAUAAUCACCCAGUUACGUUGUGACGUUUGGUAGCACACAAAGUGUUCCUCUGGUAAACGGGAGUUGCAUAAUCUCAUAGUCAUAGAAACAUGUAUAAGUCAUGAAGAAAGCAAUAGCAACAUACUAAACGAUCGAGUGCUAAGCUAACGGAAUGGGUCAAGUCAAUCACAUCAUUCUCCUAAUGAUGUGAUCCCGUUAAUCAAAUGACAACUCAUGUCUAUGGCUAGGAAACAUAACCAUCUUUGAUCAACGAUCCAGUCAAGUAGAGGCAUACUAGUGACACUCUGUUUGUCUAUGUAUUCACACAUGUAUUAUGUUUCCGGUUAAUACAAUUCUAGCAUGAAUAAUAAACAUUUAUCAUGAUAUAAGGAAAUAAAUAAUAACUUUAUUAUUGCCUCUAGGGCAUAUUUCCUUCACACUUCUCCCAAUUCAAGACAAGGUUAGUUUCUUCACAUCUCUGCAAUCAAGGUUGCUCAAACAAUCAUCAAAAGAGGAUCCAUAGACGGAGAAAUCAUCCAUGAAAACCUCACAAAUCUAUUCACAAAAGUCAGAGAAUAUAGCCAUCAUGCAUCUUUGAAAGGUAGCAGGUGCAUUACAUAAACCAAAAGGCAUACGUCUAUAAGCAAAAGUACCGAAAGGGCAAGUAAAAGUGGUCUUUGAUUGAUCAUCGGCUGACACAGGUAUUUGAGAGAAACCAGAAUAACCAUCUAGAAAGCAAAAAUGUGUAUGUUUAGAUAAUCUUUCUAGAAUUUGAUCGAUAAAAGGUAAGGGGUAAUGAUCCUUUUUAGUAGCUUUAUUUAGUUUGCGGAAAUCAAUUACCAUCCUAUAACCUGUAAUAAUUCUUUGCGGGAUCAAUUCAUCUUUAUCAUUAGGAACGACAGUAAUACCUCCCUUCUUAGGGAAAUAAUGGACAGGACUUACCCACUGACUAUCAGCAACGGGAUAAAUUAUACCUGCCUCAAGGAGCUUUAGUAUUUCCUUUCUUACUUCUUCUUUCAUCUUAGGAUUCAGCCGUCAUUGAUGAUCACGAACUGGUUUGGCAUCUUUCUCCCAAUUUAUUUUAUGUUGGCAUAGAGUGGGGCUAAUGCCCUUAAGAUCAUCAAGAGUAUAUCCAAUAGCAGCACGGUGCUUCUUCGGAGUUUUCAAUAAUCUCUCUUCUUCAUGCUCUGAAAGGUUAGCACUAAUAAUAACAGGAUAUAUCUUCUUUUCAUCAAGAUAAGCAUAUUUAAGAGUAUCAGGUAACGGUUUAAUCUCAAACACGGGAUCACCCUUGGGUGGAGGAGGAUCCCCUAGGAUUUCAACAGGCAAAUUGUGUUUCAGGAUGGGUUCUUGUUUAAAGAAUACUUCAUCUAUUUCCCUUCUUUCAUUCAUAAACAUAUCAUUUUCAUGGUCUAGCAAAUAUUGUUCUAAAGGAUCACUAGGAGGUACGGCAAUAGAAGCAAGACCAAUAAUUUCAUCCUUACUAGGCAAUUCCUCUUCACGGUGUUGUCUACUAAAUUUAGAGAAAUUAAACUCAUGAGACAUAUCACCCAAGCCAAUAGUAAUGACAUCCUUUUCGCAGUCUAUCCUAGCAUUAACAGUGUUCAAGAAGGGUCUACCAAAUAUUAUGGGACAAAAGCUAUCUUGUGGGGAACCAAGAACAAGAAAAUCAACAGGAUAUUAGUUUUCCCACACAAGACUUCAACAUCUCUAACAAUUCCAAUGGGUGAUAUGGUAUCUCUAUUGGCAAGCUUAAUGGUAACAUCAAUAUCUUCUAUCUCAGCAGGUGCAAUAUCAUGCAUAAUUUCUUUGUAUAAGUCAUGAGGUAUAGCACUAGCACCCAUAUCACAUAAGCCAUGAUAACAAUGAUCUCCUAUUUUAACAGAAAUAACAAGCAUGCCUACCACAGGUCUAUGUUUAUCUUUAGCACAAGGUUUGGCAAUUCUAGCAGUUUCAUCUCGGAAAUGAAUAACAUGCCCAUCAAUAUUAUCAGACAAGAGAUCUUUAACAAUAGCAAUAUUAGGUUCAACUUUAACUUGCUCAGGAGGUGUAUAGGUUCUAAUAUUGCUUAUACGAACCACAGUUGAAGCUUUAGCGUGAUCCUUUAUCCUAACAGGAAAAGGUGGUUUCUCAACAUAAGCAGUAGGAACAAUAGGAUCAUUAUAAGUGAUAGUCUUUUCUUCAACUUUAAUAGGUGCAGCUACUUUUACUUCUAUGGGAGGAUGAUAUUUAAACCACUUCUCCUUAGGGAGAUCAACGUGAGCAGCAAAAGAUUCACAAAAGGAAGCUACUAUCUCAGAGUCAAGUCCAUAUUUAGUGCUAAAUUUACGGAAAACGUCGGUAUCCAUAAAAGAUUUAACACAAUCAAACUUAGGUGUCAUACCUGACUCCUUACCUUCGUCGAGAUCCCAAUCUUCAGAGUUGCAUUUAAUUCUUCCCAAUAAGUUCCAUUUUAAUUCAAUAGUCUUCAUCGUAAAAGAGCCAGCACAAGAAGUAUCGAGCAUGGUGCGAUUGUUAUCAGAAAGCCGAGCAUAAAAAUUUUGAAUAAUCAUUUCUCUUGAGAGCUCAUGAUUGGGGCAUGAAUAUAACAUUGAUUUAAGCCUCCCCCAAGCUUGAGCGAUGCUUUCUCCUUCGCGAGGCCAAAAAUUAUAUAUAGAAUUGCGAUCACGAUGAACAAGAUGCAUAGGAUAAAACUUCUGAUGAAAUUCCAAUUUCAAUCGUUUGUAGUUCCAUGACCCCGUAUCAUCACAUAGCCUAUACCAUGUCAAUGCAUCUCCCUUCAAAGAUAAAGGGAAGACCUUCUUCUUAAUAACAUCAUCGGGUAUACCUGCAAGCUUAAAUAAUACACAAACUUCAUCCACAUAGAUUAGGUGCUCAUCAGGAUGCAUUGUUCCGUCUCCUGCAAAAGGAUUAGCCAGCAGUUUUUCUAACAUACCCGAAGGAAUUUCAAAGUAGACAUUUUUAUUUUCAGUAGGUUCAAUAGGUUGAGGAGCAACUCUUUGCUCUACUGGUCGGGGUGAAGAUACCCCGAACAAGCCCCUCAGAGGAUUACUUUCCAUAGUAACAAGUGACAGUAAAUUUCAGCACACUAUAUAAAUUUUUCCUUACCAAAUUCCACCUACCAAAGACGCUUCACUCCCCGGCAACGGCGCCAUAAAAGAGUCUUGAUGACCCACAAGUAUAGGGGAUCUAUCGUAGUCCUUUCAAUAAGUAAGAGUGCCGAACCCAACGAGGAGCAGAAGGAAACGAUAAGCAGUUUUCAGCAAGGUAUUCUCUGCAAGCACUGAAAUAAUAGGUAACAGAUAGUUUUGUGAUAGGAUAAUUGGUAACGAGCAACAAGUAACAAAAGUAAAUAAAGUGCAGCAAGGUGGCCCAAUCCUUUUUGUAGCAAAGGACAAGCCUGGACAAACUCUUAUAUAGAGAAAAGCGCUCCCGAGGACACAUGGGAAUUAUCGUCAAGCUAGUUUUCAUCACGUUCAUAUGAUUCGCGUUCGGUAGUUUGAUAAUUUGAUAUCUGGGUGGACCGGUGCUUGGGUGCUGUCCUUACUUGGACAAGCAUCCCACUUGUGAUUAACCUCUAUUGCAAGCAUCCGCAACUACAACAAAAGUAUUAAGGUAAACCUAACCAUAGCAUGAAAAAUAUGGAUCCAAAUCAGCCCCUUAUGAAGCAACGCAUAAACUAGGGUUUAAGCUUCUGUCACUCUAGCAACCCAUCAUCUACUUAUUACUUCCCAAUGCCUUCCUCUAGGCCCAAAUAAUGGUGAAGUGUCAUGUAGUCGACGUUCACAUAACACCACUAGAGGAGAGACAACAUACAUCUCAUCAAAAUAUCGAACGAAUACCAAAUUCACAUGACUACUAAUAGCAAGACUUAUCCCAUGUCCUCAGGAACAAAUGUAACUACUCACAAAGCAUAUUCAUGUUCAUAAUCAGAGGAGUAUUAAUAUGCAUAUAGGAUCUGAACAUAUGAUCUUCCACCAAAUAAACCAACUAGCAUCAACUACAAGGAGUAAUCAACACUACUAGCAACCUACACGUACCAAUCCCAGACUUGGAGAUAAGAAUUGGAUACAAGAGAUGAACUAGGGUUUGAGAGGAGAUGGUGCUAGUGAAGAUGUUGAUGGAGAUUGCCCUCUCCCGAUGAGAGGAGCAUUGGUGAUGACGAUGGCGAUGAUUUCCCCCUCCCGGAGGGAAGUGUCCCCGGCAGAACAGCUCUGUCGGAGCCCUAGAUUGGUUCCGCCAAGGUUCCACCUCGUGGCGGCGGAGUCUCAUCCCGAAAGCUUGAUUAUGAUUUUUCUUCGGAUGAAAGACUUCAUAUAGCAGAAGAUGGGCACUGGAGGGCCAACAGGGGGCCCACGAGGCAGGGGGGCGUGCCCAGGGGGGUAGGGCGCGCCCCCCACCCUCGUGGACAGGUGGAGGCCCCCCUGACGUGGAUUCUUCUUCCAGUAUUUUUUAUUAUUUCCAAAAAUUAACUUUCGUGGAGUUUCAGGACUUUUGGAGUUGUGCAGAAUAGGUCUCUAAUAUUUGCUCCUUUUCCAGCCCAGAAUUCCAGCUGCCGGCAUUCUCCCUCCUUAUGUAAACCUUGUAAAAUAAGAGAGAAUAUGCAUAAGUAUUGUGACAUAAUGUGUAAUAACAGCCCAUAAUGCCAUAAAUAUCAAUAUAAAAGCAUGAUGCAAAAUGGACGUAUCAAGCCCAGAUUCCGCAAAAUGGUUUAAGGCCAUGAAAUUUGAGAUAGGAUCCAUGUAUGAAUACAAAGUAUGUACUUUGGUGGUAUUGCCCGAUGAUCGGCAAGCCAUUGAGAAUAAAUGGAUCUUAAAGAGGAAGACGGAUGCUGAUGGUAGUGUUACUAUCUACAAAGCUCAAACUGUCGCAAAAGGUUUUCGACAAGUUCAAGGUGUUGACUACGAUGAGAUUUUCUCGCUCGUAUCGAUGCUUAGAGUCUGUCCGGAUCAUGUUAGCAAUUGCCGCAUUUUAUGAAAUUUGGCAAAUGGAUGUCAAAACUGCAUUCCUUAAUGGAUAUCUCAAAGAAGAGUUGUAUAUGAUCCAACCAGAAGGUUUUGUCGAUCCUAAAGGUGCUAACAAAGUGUGCAAGCUCCAGCGAUCCAUUUAUGGACUGGUGCAAGCCUCUCGGAGUUGGAAUAUACACUUUAAUAGUGUGAUCAAAGCAUAUGGUUUUAUACAUACUUGUGGUGAAGCAUGUAUUUACAAGAAAGUGAGUGGGAGCACUACAGCCUUUCUGAUAAGUAUAUGUGAAUGACAUAUUGUUGAUCGGAAAUGAUGUAGAAUUUUAUGGAAAGCAUGAAGGAGUGUUUGAAAGGAGUUUUUCAAAGAAAGACCUCGGUGAAGCUGCUUACAUAUUGAGCAUCAAGACCUAUAGAGAUGGAUCAAUACGCUUGAUAAGAUUUUUCAAUGAAUACAUACCUUGAUAAGAUUUUGAAGUAGUUCAAAAUGGAACAGUCAAAGAAGGAGUUCUUGCCUGUAUUGCAAGGUGUGAAGUUGAGUAAGACUCAAAACCCAACCACGGCAGAAAAUAGAAAGAGAAUGUAAGUCAUUCCCUAUGCCUCAGUCAUAGGUUCUAUAAAGUAUGAUAUGCUGUGUACCAGACCUAUUGUGUACCUCGCCAUGAGUUUGGCAAGAGGGUACAAUAGUGAUCCAGGAGUGGAUCACUGGACAGCGGUCAAAAUUAUCCUUAGUGGAAUAAGGAUAUGUUUCUUGGUUAUGGAGGUGAUAAAGAGUUCGUCGUAAAGAGCUACGUCGAUGUAAGCUUUGACACCGAUCUGGAUAACUCUGAGUCUCGAUCUAGAUACAUAAUGAAAGUGGGAGCAAUUAGCUAGAGUAGCUUCGUGCAGAGCAUUGUAAACAUAGAAAUUUGCAAAAUACAUACAGCUCUGAAUGUGGCAGAUCUGUUGACUAAAUUUAUCUCACAAGCAAAACAUGAUCACACCUUAGUGCUCUUGGGUGUUAAUCACAUAGCGAUGUGAACUAUAUUAUUGACUCUCGUAAACCCUUUGAGUGUUGGUCACAUGGCGAUGUGAACUAUGGGUGUUAAUCACAUGGUGAUGUGAACUAUUGGUGUUAAAUCACAUGGCGAUGUGAACUAGAUUAUUGACUCUAGUGCAAGUGGGAGACUGAAGGAAAUAUGCCCUAGAGGCAAUAAUAAAGUUAUUAUUUUAUUUCCUUAUUUCAUGAUAAAUGUUUAAUAUUCAUGCUAGAAUUGUAUUAACCGGAAACUUAGUACAUGUGUGAAUACAUAGACAAACAGAGUGUCCCUAGUAUGCCUCUACUUGACUAGCUCGUUAAUCAAAGAUGGUUAAGUUUCCUAGCCAUAGACAUGUGUUGUCAUUUGAUGAACGGGAUCACAUCAUUAGAGAAUAAUGUGAUGGACAAGACCCAUUCGUUAGGUUAGCAUUAUGAUCGUUUCAGUUUUCAUUGCUACUGGUUUCUUCAUGACUUAUACAUGUUCCUCUGACUAUGAGAUUAUGCAACUCCCGAAUACCGGAGGAACACUUUGUGUGCUAUCAAACGUCACAACGUAACUGGGUGAUUAUAAAGAUGCUCUACAGGUGUCUCCGAAGGUGUUUGUUGAGUUGGCAUAUAUCGAGAUUAGGAUUUGUCACUCUGUGUAUCGGAGAGGUAUCUCUGGGCCCUCUCGGUAAUGCACAUCAUUAUAAGCCUUGCAAGCAUUGUGACUAAUGAGUUAGUUGCGGGAUGAUGCGUUAUGGAACGAGUAAAGAGACUUGCCGAUAACGAGAUUGAACUAGGUAUGAGAAUACCGACGAUCGAAUCUCGGGCAAGUAACAUACCGAUGACAAAGGGAACAACGUAUGUUGUUAUGCGGUUUGACCGAUAAAGAUCUUCGUACAAUAUGUAGGAGCCAAUAUGAGCAUCCAGGUUCCGCUAUUGGUUAUUGACCGGAGAUGUGUCUCGGUCAUGUCUACAUAGUUCUCGAACCCGUAGGGUCUGCACGCUUAACGUUCGAUGAUGAUUUGUAUUAUGAGUUAUGUGAUUUGAUGUACCGAAGGUUGUUCGGAGUCCCGGAUGAGAUCACGGACAUGACGAGGAGUCUCAAAAUGGUCGAGACGCAAAGAUCGAUAUAUUGGAAGGCUAUAUUCGGACAUCGAAAAGGUUCCGAGUGAUUCGGGUAUUUUUCGGAGUACCGAAGAGUUACGGGAAUUCUCGGGGAGAAGUAAUGGGCCUUAUUGGGCUUUAGUGGAGAGAGGGGAUAAGGGCCAAGAGGUGGCGCGCGCCUCCCCCUCCUGCCCAAACCGAAUUGGACAAGGGGUGGGGGCGCGGCCCCCCUUUUCCUUCUCCCUCUCCCUCUCUUUCCUUCUCUCCAACUCCGAAUAGGAAAGAGGAGGGGAAUCCUACUUGGACUAGGGAGUCCUAGUAGGAUUCCCCACACCUGGCGCACCCCCCUUGGGCCGGCCACCUCUUCCCUCCCCUCCUUUAUAUACGUGGCCAGGGGGCACCCCAAAAGCACUCAAGAUUUGUCUUAGCCGUGUGUGGUGCCCCCCUCCACAGUUACACACCUUGAUCAUAUCGUCGUAGUGCUUAGGCGAAGCCCUGCACCGGUAACAUCAUCAUCACCGUCGCCACGCCGUCGUGCUGACGGAACUCUCCCUCGGCCUCAACUGGAUCAAGAGUACGAGGGACGUCAUCGAGUUGAACGUGUGCUAAACACGGAGGUGUCGUACGUUCGGUGCUAGGAUCGGUCGGAUCGUGAAGACGUAUGACUACAUCAACCGCGUUGAUAUAACGCUUCCGCUUUCGGUCUACGAGGGUAUGUAGAAACGCUCUCCCCUCUUGUUGCUAUGCAUCUCCUAGAUAGAUCUUGCGUGGUCGUAGGAAAUUUUUUUAAAUACUGCGUUCCCCAACAUACAGACCACACCAUCAGGAGCAUAGUACCCCGGUGGUAGCUGCAUAUAAACCUCCUCACGCAACUCGCCAUUGAGAAAGGCGUUCUGGACAUCAAGUUGAGAGAUAGACCAAUGACGAACAGAAGCCACAGCAAAGAGAGUGCGCACAGUGGUCAUGUGGGCUACAGGAGCGAAUGUCUCAUCAUAAUCGCGUCCCUGCUCCUGCUGAAAACCACGGGCCACAAGACGAGCUUUGUAGCGCUCAACAGAACCAUCGGAGCGAGUCUUAAUCUUGUAGACCCACUUGCAGGUGAUGGGACGAACACCAGAAGGGAGGGAAACCAGAUCCCAGGUGCCAGAGCGCUCAAGGGCAGCAAGCUCUUCGGCCAUCGCAAGCUGCCAUUCAGGCUGAGUCAUGGCAGUCCGAUAGGAAGUGGGCUCGGCAAUAACGGAGAGACCAUACCGGUUAGGAGAAUAACGAUCAGGCGGGGGCGAGGCCGAGCACGGAGGUUAUGAACCAGGGGAGGCAUGAACGGAGGUGCACCAGAGGUGGAAGGCGAGUCAGGGGAAGCAUCCUCAGUAUGAGGGCGGCGAGUAUAGUGGAGAGGAAACGGUGAGAGAGGGCGACGAACAGGAGAAGAUGGCAGAGAGGUGGAGGAGGAGGAUGGGGAAGAUGGUGUCGGUGGUGAAUGAGAAUGAGUGAGAGGUGCAGGAGGAAGAGGUGAAACAUGAGGCACAUAGCAGAGUGUAUCGGGAAGGGGAAGAAAGGAAAUAUCGUCCACAGAGAAACUCGAGGAAGAAGGACGUGGGUAGUAAGAGCGAUACUCGUCAAAGGUCACAUCACGUGAGAUGCGCAAACGACGACCAACAGGGUCCCAACAGCGAUAGCCCUUUGUUGACACCUGAUUUUGGCAAGAUACAGAGUGAAAGGGUUUUCAGCAUGAGAAAGUUUCACAUCGUCGAGUGGAACAACUUUGAUGUUUUGGCUAUCGCCAUUCGACCUCAUCUCAGUGGCCGAAGUUGUACUCCGAGUGACAAAAUUUAGUGUUCUGAGUGCUUUUCGGCCGAUUACGCCCUCAAUAUCACCUCAGAUGAAGGAGUGCUCUAAAGUAAUUGUCUUCGUCUCGUCGAGACAAUCGAUUUUCAUAUAUAAAUCAUCUCAAUCCGAGUUCGUGUGCAAAAGUUACAGUCAAUAUGGUGCGGACCAGCUAGGAAUCAAAAUAUUACGCUGGACUUCAGACACAUGUUGAUGGGUGUCUGGUACAAUGCGUGCGCAAUUAUCCCUUGAAGCUGACCUCGGAUCUAAAAGUGUUCAACAUGAAAGUUUUUCAUCCCGUCAAGCCGAUCGAUUUUCAUAUAUAAAUUGUCUCGAUCCAAGUUAGUAUGCGACCUGGGGAGGCAAGACAAGAUCAGGCUGUGUUUUCAGUCGGAAAUCCGAGUGAAAAAGUUUACCAUCCGAGUGAAAAUUUACCGGUCGAGUGAAAGUUUGCUGACCGGAUGAACUUAUUAUUAUCCGAGUAAAAAUAUAGUCAUCCAAGUGAAAUUUUCCUCCAGGUAAAAAUAUUCCGAGUGAAAAGAUUGCCAUCGGAACGAAAACUUGCCGAUCGAGUAAGAUAUUGCCUUCCGAGUGGAAAUAUAGUCAUCCGAGUGAAAGAUUGUCUUCCGAGUGAAAAAGUCCAGUCGGACGAUCCGAGCGUAAGUCUCUAAUAUCCGAGUGGAUGAGCUCGAAUCCGAGUGAAACUGAACAUGUGCCCGAAAGUUUAUCAAGAUGACCUCGGAUGAAGAAGUGUUCAAUACAGAAGUUGUGCGUAUCAUCAAGACGGUAAACUUUGGUUUUGGAGUCAUCAUCAUCAAAGAUAGUAUAUGGCCUGCAAAUUCACUACAAAACUGGAUAAUCCAGUCUACUGCAAGACCGAGUCCGACUGGAAGGUAAAGAUGACCUCGAGAAAUAUUCAAGAUGGCCUUAUUUGAAAAAGUGAUCAACAUGAGAGUUGUUCAUAUCAUCGAGGCGCACAAGUUUGAUAUUUGGGCCGUCUUGAUCGGAGAUCAUAUGCAAACUCAAUGGCCCGCGCAAGGAGGAAGACAGAAGUUGGGCCAGAUUCAGACUGAAUCCGAGUUGGAAUAGAACUAGGACUCUAGGACGUGAAUUGAUGUAAUUUUUCGUGUAAGGAAAGCCUAGAUGAAUCCUUUACUUGUACGGGAAGUCCAGCCGCCUCUUAUAUAUGUUGGGGAUGACGGCCGAUUGAACAACACACAAUCGAACAAAUCAAUAUACUACUUUUUCAUCUACGUUUUAUCUCUCCACCGUUUUUCUCUCUCGUUCUUCGCUGUUCCUCGAAUUUGAGAGCUGCGAAUCCUGAGGCUCUAGGGGCGAGCGAAUCGACCUAGGGCAGCCCAUAGCCGCCGCACUCCCUGACGGGGUCCCUCCCGGGGGUGUGGGGUUUCGGGUCUGCAAAAGCGCCCACCGACUGUCCUGCGUAUCGCGCUGUCGGUUGGGUCUCCUUCGACGUGAGCUGCGGUGCAUCACCCCCGGCGUCGAGGGUACACGUGACGUGUUCAUGUGUCAACACCCUUGUGCUCAUCACUAUAGCCAAGGAAAACACACUCAACCGACUGAGCAGUCAGUUUGGUGCGUUCUCGCGGGGCAAGAAGGACAUAGCACACACAUCCAAACAUACGAAGGGCGGAGUAGUCAGGAGAACGACCAGUGAGACACUCCAUAGGAAUACCACCCUGCAGGGUAGUCGAUGGCUGAAUGUUGAUGAGGUAGGUUGAUGCAGAAACAGCCUCAGCUCAAAAGGGAAGCGGCAAUCAUCAGCGCAUGAGCCGUCUCAAGCAAAUGACGAUGCUUAUGUUCCGCAACGCCAUUCUAAGCAUGAGCACCAGGAUAAGAGAACUGGGCAAGAGUACCCUGUUCUGCGAGAAAACCACGCAAUAGCUGGGAGAUAUACUCUCCAGCGGAGUCAGUACGAAAAGUAUGAAUAGGUGUGGAAAACUGGGUGUGAACCAUGGCAGCAAAUCGUUUGUAUGUAGAGAGAACCUCGCUACGAGAUUUCAUGAAGUAGAGCCAAGUGUAGCGAGAGAAAUCAUCAAUAAACAAAACAUAGUAGCGAUGACCACCUUUCGAAUCAAAGGGAGCAGGACCCAGACAUCCGAAUGAACUAAGUCAAAGGGAUGCUGGGAUACCGACUCAUUGAUAGAAUAAGGUAACUGGGUUUGUUUGCCAAGUCUACAACCAUUACAAUGUAAAAAAAACAUCUCCAGAUACAGACCCUAAGAGGCCCUGACGCACUAAUGAUGAUAAGCGAGAGCCACAGAUGUGACCAAGGCGAUGAUGCCACUGCUGAAAGGACGCAAACGAGGAGGCAGCAAGUGCAUGAGAACUGGCAGAAGUGGUGGCAGCAGAAGGAACACAAAGCCAGUCAACCUCCCAAAGGCCAUCUGACUCACGGCGCCGGGGGCCAGCACCAACCAAAACCUUGGUGCGACGAUCCUGAAUGGAGCAAGAGUCGGUAUCAAGAAUAACACGACAACCAGAAUCGGUAAGUUGGGCAGCGGGAAAAAGAUUCAUGGUAAGGCGAGGAACAUGAGAAACACUAGGAACCGAAAAGGACGGAGUGGAAAGAAUACCACGACUAGCAACAGGAAGAGAUGUGUCAUCGGCAGUAAGAACAUUAAUAGGAGAAUCAAGAGGGCGAAGAGAAGACAACGUUGAAGAAUCAGAGGACAUAUGAAAGUAAGCUCCAGAGUCCAGAACCCACGAAGAUGUACCUGACGGUGUAGAUGCUGGUGGUGAUGAGCUGGUGAAAGCAGUCACAGCAGCAGCAGAACCCAUCGAUGAAGAACCGGAGGAAGCCAGAAGGCGCUUGAGCCGCACAAUGUCCUGGUCAGUGAGUGACUGAGUCGGGGAAGAUCCAGGAGUCCCACUGGAAGAGGAGCGACUCUGGUCUCGCUUCUUCUCACGGCAAUCAGACUCUUGGUGACCUGGCCGCGAGCAGUAGCCACAGAAGGUGUCACGGCGCGACCGGCCCUUCUCAACAUNNNNNNNNNNNNNNNNNNNNNNNNNNNNNNNNNNNNNNNNNNNNNNNNNNNNNNNNNNNNNNNNNNNNNNNNNNNNNNNNNNNNNNNNNNNNNNNNNNNNNNNNNNNNNNNNNNNNNNNNNNNNNNNNNNNNNNNNNNNNNNNNNNNNNNNNNNNNNNNNNNNNNNNNNNNNNNNNNNNNNNNNNNNNNNNNNNNNNNNNNNNNNNNNNNNNNNNNNCAGGAGCUCGGGCAGCCAACACCGAUGGAACCACAAGCAACCCAGCAGAGCGAAGGCGGGUCUCCUCAGCACAAAGCUCGUCAAGCACCUCCGAGAUAGGCACACGACCACAAGCAAGCAAGUGAGCACGUCGAGGCUCGAACUCAGAACGAAGAUGAGAUAAGAACUCAUGGACUCUCUGAAACUCCAAAUCAGACCGCGUAGUCUGACAGCAACGGCAAGUUCCACAAACAACUGUCCGAAGAGAGUCAAGCUGGCGUCAGAUGGCAGAGCACUGUGAAUAAAACUCAUCAACAGAGGAAUCACCUUGCUGGAGUGCGUGCUCCUGACGCACCACCGAUAGGUAGAGAGCAUCACCAGAGGGCUGAUAGCGCUGACAGAGAUAAGACCACAUUGCUGCAACUGUGCCGAGUCCCAUGAACUCCGAAGCAGACUGAGGGAGAACACUCGUAGUGAGAACAGCAGCAGCUUGAGCAUCAUCAUUGCACCACUGAGUGUAAGCAGACAGAUCAUCCCGAUAGACGAAAAGAGCAUCAGAAUAGGCGGAGACCUGCUGAUCAUAAGCAUCAACCGCAGCAUCAUCAAGAGCCUUGGCUGCAUCCUGAUUAGCGUGAGAAGCAUCAGCAGCAAGCACCGGCGGUACCGGCGGGGUAGGAGCCACCGGAGCAAAAGGGCAGGGCGGACAGGGAACCUCGCCAGAGAGAACGCCCCACAGCAGAAGGCCACGCAUAUGGAUACGCAUGAAACCCGCAAACUCAGCAUAGUUGGUGCCAUCAAAGAUCACUGAGCACUGAGGGACAGCGACAUAGCCCGAAGAAGACAUGAGGAAGUCUCCCUUCUGCUUCUCUGCUUCUCCUUUUUUUUAGUCAAGGACGAGAAAGACUCGAUCUGGAUCGGAUCGAGCAAGAUUGAGGCAAAGGAGUGCUCGCUCGCGCCUGCGGCCGGGCCAACCGAGCGCCGCUCGUUCGGGAAGCAGGGACGAGCCCCGCUCGCGCCUGCUGCAAAGCCCCAGCAGCAAGUCGACCGGAAGGGAGCCAGGAGGUCGGCGGAGCUGGACCGGAAGGGGGCAGCGACGACCAGGCCGGGACGACGGCGGACGGACGAGAAAGAGGCGGCGACGGCGCGACCACCGGGCCGGGACGACGGCGGCCGAGCAGGUCGGAGGCAGCGGCGACCCGACGGGGCAGCGGGCGAACAGCUGCUAUGGCAGCAGGAGCGGGUAGGAGGCCCGAACGAGCCGAAGACAGCUCUUGCCGGACGGAGAAGGCAACAGCGCAACGAUUCUGGGCCGGGGACUGAAGGGGAGACGACCGGAGACGGUCCACGGCAGGCCAAGACGGGCAGGCUAGGCACAAUGCGCACGGAGUUGCAGCGUGCGAGAAGAAGAGGCUAACCUGGCAUCUGAUACCGUGUUGGAGAAUCAGCAACUAAUAUUCACUGAGGGCCAAAGACCAUUACAUAUGGUAAAGUGCAAGAAACUCCUCAUACAAUGGGGAUAUACCGAAAAGGGACUAUAUACAUCUAACAAUAUUUUGGCGUUCAUGUAUGGGGUACCUCAUUUGGAGCUUUGCAAGGUUUGCACUGGAAAGCAUACAGACAUAGGCUCUGUUUGGAUGUAGAUACUCAAGCCACGGAAUUGAAAGGGGGUGUUUAUCGGAAUUUGCUUAUCAGUACUACUAUAUGUCAGAGUCGAAAAUUUCUAGUACACUGAUUCUGGACGAUCGCACUUUCUCUUUUGUCUGACCGAAUUUAAAAUGUUGUACCAACAUUGGCCAUACCCGUAUUCUGCAUGAAUUUCCUCUGGACAAUUUGCUUUCCUAGUUGCUUUACUUUCUAAACAUGCUACCAGGAUCUCGGAAUCACGACCGUUAAGAGCUCCCUCAUAACUGCAGGUCGCGGUACAUGGCCUCUGUUUGAUGAAAUCAGAAUAGUCGAGAACAAAGUGGCUAACUGGUGCGUAACUGUGGGAAUCUGACAAACAGUUCAGCCAAAUUCUGAAGAAUAUAGAAGUGAUUCGAUAGAACACACAGAACAUGUUGCUAUUACAAUACGGCAACAAAUAAUAAAGCUCUGGCUUCAUACGUUAGUCAGCAUUGUAUUUAUUUCAACAAAGAGAGAAAAACAAAGCACUUACCUAAGCUUGCAGUAGUUCUAGUUCUCAAAACACCAUUAUGGAUGGAGAAUAUAUGCAUAAAAGUCCACGAGAACAACAUAGGGCAACUCGAGCAGAGCUCGUACUAACUUCCUACACGGCGCUCUUCUACCAGUGUUCUCUA
This 41995-nucleotide long non-coding RNA is filed under the name Triticum aestivum (bread wheat). RNAcentral's name for it is "long non-coding RNA (TAES_LNC009024)". The record is from RNAcentral. Lineage: Eukaryota; Viridiplantae; Streptophyta; Magnoliopsida; Poales; Poaceae.